AGAGUUUGAUCCUGGCUCAGGAUGAACGCUGGCGGCAUGCCUAACACAUGCAAGUCGAUCGGUAAGGCUCUUCGGAGUACACGAGAGGCGGACGGCUGAGUAACGCGUAGGAACACACCCUGCAGUGAGGGAUAAGACACCGAAAGGUGUUCUAAUACCGCAUACGGUCUUCGGAUUAAAGCAUUUAUGCGCUGAAGGAGUGGCCUGCGUCAUAUUAGAUAGUUGGUGAGGUAAUGGCUUACCAAGUCGAUGAUGUGUAGCUGGUCUGAGAGGAUGAUCAGCCAGACUGGAACUGAGACACGGUCCAGACUCCUACGGGAGGCAGCAGUGAGGAAUAUUUCACAAUGAGCGAAAGCUUGAUGGAGCAAUGCCGCGUGCAGGAUGAAGGCCCUCGGGUUGUAAACUGCUUUUAUAAGAGAAGAUUAUGACGGUAACUUAUGAAUAAGGGACGGCUAACUACGUGCCAGCAGCCGCGGUCAUACGUAGGUCCCGAGCGUUAUCCGGAGUGACUGGGCGUAAAGAGUUGCGUAGGCGGUCAAGUUAGCGAGCGAUGAAAACUAUCGGCUCAACCGAUAGCUUGUUGUUCGAACUGCUUGACUCGAGAGUAUCAGAGGUCGCUGGAAUUCCUAGUGUAGCAGUGAAAUGCGUAGAUAUUAGGAAGAACACCGAUGGCGUAGGCAGGCGACUGGGAUAUUUCUGACGCUAAGGCACGAAAGCGUGGGUAGCGAACCGGAUUAGAUACCCGGGUAGUCCACGCCGUAAACGAUGGAUGCUAAUUGUUUGAGGUAUCGACCCCUCGAGUAAUAAAGCUAACGCGUUAAGCAUCCCGCCUGUGGAGUACGGCCGCAAGGCUAAAACAUAAAGGAAUUGACGGGGACCCGCACAAGCGGUGGAUCGUGUUCUUUA
This 906-nucleotide ribosomal RNA is filed under the name uncultured Candidatus Saccharibacteria bacterium. Its description in RNAcentral is "bacterial SSU rRNA". It matches the Rfam family "Bacterial small subunit ribosomal RNA", at positions 8 to 948 of the family's 1533-position model. The record is from RNAcentral. Lineage: Bacteria; Candidatus Saccharimonadota.